Molecule: long non-coding RNA, 696 nt
Organism: Dermacentor silvarum
Lineage: Eukaryota; Metazoa; Arthropoda; Arachnida; Ixodida; Ixodidae
Exons: 3
Source: RefSeq, a predicted model, not a curated record
UCGUUGCCGUUGUCGCUGUCGGAAAGAUGUGAGUUUGGCCCUUCGGCCAUCGGAGUCACGUGUAACCGACGUGAUACGCAGCGUUAUUGUACGUGCUUUGCGUUGGUUUGUCAGUAUGGGAACUCCGAAGGCACGACCUAGCAGCGUGUUGAAUGGCGCUGGUUGGUGCAUUUGGGUAGUUCAAGGUCAGCUAGGAGUUUGUACGGUUGCGGUGGUCAAACCUGAUGGCGCUGUCGAGCAACGCAGCCAGCGUGGAAGCCCCCGAGCGGCCGUAUGACCUUGGCGUCAGUGGCGAGUCAUCACUAAAAGCGUCCUGCAAACAGACCCCUAGUACUUCCGAAAAAAAGUGGGAGACAUCGCUUCUGCAGCAUCGCUGUUGACCUAUCAGAUGCUGAGGCUGACUGCGGCCAGGAACCAACAGGGAUGACAAUGGUACGACCACGUUGGCACGGUUACGGCCUUACAUUCAGUACGACCAACGUAUUUGGGAAGAGGCAAUCAGAAAGACCGCAGCACCCAGCAGCACCCAGCAGCAGCCGGAAAGUGAAAGUAAAAGGCAAAGAAAGCAUGGCUUUGAAAAAAAGCUACGCCUAAAAUAUAUUUUCAGCAUACGACGGUGUGGGCUUGAUUCAAUGCAAGAGCUGACAAGAGAAAUUCUGCAAGCGCGCUUCCCCCCGCAUCUCAUUUGAUUCGCAC